Molecule: long non-coding RNA, 999 nt
Organism: Panicum virgatum (switchgrass)
Lineage: Eukaryota; Viridiplantae; Streptophyta; Magnoliopsida; Poales; Poaceae
Exons: 2
Source: RefSeq, a predicted model, not a curated record
UCGAAAUGCUAUUCGUUUAGUCGAAUGCCAACACUACAAUUGAUAAAUAUCAUGUCCUUUCGAAAAUAAAUAUCAUGUGCUUAUCUCUUUCGUCUCAAUUGUUUUCAGUAAUUCGAUAUUGACAUUUUGUGAUUAGAUCAAAAAGAUUACUGCUGGUAAUGUUUAGAGUCCAGGAAAUAAUUUCUUAGAAUUUAUGAACUCUGUUUCAUGGUGCUCUUGAAUAUGAGCCUAAGUAAGUAUAUGGGAAAUAGAUGUCUUGAACUAGCGGUCCAUACCUGUGGAACCAUAUGUUAGCCUAGUGUUUGCUUGCAUGAGGUGUGAAACAAGAUGACUCGACUUAAUACUUGAUCAUGUAAUAACCCCAUGUAUUGCCUUGUGAAUAUCCAAUUGUAUGAGUGUAUGUUUGUUCUAUGUCCACGAAGGUGCCCUUGCCUAAGUAGUUUUGAGAUCCCCUUUCUGUCAUCCAUUGAAUGGUUAUUCAUGCGUGCUUAUACUCAUGCAUUCCAUUCAUUGCAUCAUGCCUGCCAAUCAUAUAGCGACGCUUAUUGCAGAUACGUGAUCCAGAACCAAGUUUGUGGAGCUUCUUCAAGCAACGGUGGUCCAGAAGACCCACUAAGCCCCAAGCACGACCUGGAGGGCCCAUCAGUCGUGUUUGGAAGGAGGAGUUGUCCAAGGGAUCAAGGGGUUGCCUGGGGCAAAGCCUCACAACCCGGCAAAAUAACAAUAGCUUAGUUUGUUGUGUUCUGAAAGUAAAGCAAAGGUAUGGAGUUCCUCUUCUGCGCCUGUGUUAGCGGAGGGGCUUGUUAUCAUCAGGAUUAGGAAGCGUCAUGUCUGGCAACGGGGCAACAUCAGUGGGCUUGAUGUUGCUCUACUCCUGCAAGUCUUUUGGUUAUCAUGAACUCUGAACUUUACUUUCCGCUGCGAGAAACUAUUUGAACUCAAGUGUUGUAAUAACCUAUGUUGAACCCUAUUUUAUUUCGAACUGGAUUGUAACUUAAA